RNAcentral lists this ribosomal RNA (499 nucleotides) under uncultured Alphaproteobacteria bacterium. RNAcentral's name for it is "bacterial SSU rRNA". It matches the Rfam family "Bacterial small subunit ribosomal RNA", at positions 83 to 616 of the family's 1533-position model. The record is from RNAcentral. Lineage: Bacteria; Pseudomonadati; Pseudomonadota; Alphaproteobacteria.
UCUUCGGACCUAGUGGCAGACAGGUGAGUAACGCGUGGGAACGUGCCCAUCGGUUCGGGAUAACCAAGGGAAACUUUGGCUAAUACCGGAUACGUGCGAGAGCAGAAAGAUUUAUCGCCGAUGGAUCGGCCCGCGUCUGAUUAGCUUGUUGGUGGGGUAACGGCUCACCAAGGCGACGAUCAGUAGCUGGUUUGAGAGGAUGAUCAGCCACACUGGGACUGAGACACGGCCCAGACUCCUACGGGAGGCAGCAGUGGGGAAUAUUGGACAAUGGGCGCAAGCCUGAUCCAGCCAUGCCGCAUGAGUGAUGAAGGCCUUAGGGUUGUAAAGCUCUUUUAUCCGGGACGAUAAUGACGGUACCGGAAGAAUAAGCCCCGGCUAACUUCGUGCCAGCAGCCGCGGUAAUACGAAGGGGGCUAGCGUUGCUCGGAAUCACUGGGCGUAAAGGGCGCGUAGGCGGACAUUUAAGUCGGGGGUGAAAGCCCGGGGCUCAAACCCC